This 392-nucleotide ribosomal RNA is filed under the name uncultured bacterium. Its description in RNAcentral is "partial 16S ribosomal RNA". It matches the Rfam family "Bacterial small subunit ribosomal RNA", at positions 523 to 918 of the family's 1533-position model. The record is from RNAcentral.
AUACGGAGGAUGCGAGCGUUAUCCGGAUUUAUUGGGUUUAAAGGGAGCGUAGGUGGGAUAUUAAGUCAGCGGUUAAAUCGUGGGGCUCAACCCCAUUCUGCCGUUGAUACUGGGUGGCUUGAUUGCGGUCGAGGUUGGCGGAAUUCGUUGUGUAGCGGUGAAAUGCAUAGAUAUGACGAAGAACACCGAUUGCGUAGGCAGCUGACCAGACCGCAAAUGACGCUCAUGCACGAAAGUGCGGGGAUCGAACAGGAUUAGAUACCCUGGUAGUCCGCACAGUAAACGAUGAAUACUUGUUUUCGGCGAUAUAAUGUCGGAGGCAAAGCGAAAGCGAUAAGUAUUCCACCUGGGGAGUACGCCGGCAACGGUGAAACUUAAAGGAAUUGACGGGG